CCUACGGGUGGCAGCAGUAGGGAAUCUUUCACAAUGGGCGAAAGCCUGAUGGAGCCACGCCGCGUGCCGGAUGAAGGCCUUCGGGUUGUAAACUGCUUUUAUAAGCGAGAACUAUGAUGGUACCUUCUGAAUAUGGAUCGGCUCACUACGUGACAGCUGCCGCGGUCAUACGUAGGAUCCGAGCCUCAUCCGGAGUGACUGGGCGGUAAUAGUUUCGUCGGGGGCUAAAGAAGUGGCUAGUGGAAUCUGGUGGCUCAACCAUUCAGACUAUUAGCUACAAUGGUAAGCUCGAGACCGUUAGAGGUAACUGGAAUUUGUAGUGUAGCGGUGAAAUCCGUAGAUAUUAGGAGGAACACCGAUAGCGUAGGCAGGUUACUGGGACGGAUCUGACACUAAGGCACGAAAGCGUAGGGAGCAAACGGGAUUAGAUACCCCUGUAGUC
Molecule: ribosomal RNA, 442 nt
Filed under: uncultured bacterium
Lineage: Bacteria
Description: partial 16S ribosomal RNA
Rfam family: Bacterial small subunit ribosomal RNA
Source: RNAcentral